Molecule: ribosomal RNA, 305 nt
Filed under: uncultured bacterium
Lineage: Bacteria
Description: bacterial SSU rRNA
Rfam family: Bacterial small subunit ribosomal RNA
Source: RNAcentral
CCUACGGGGGGCAGCAGUAGGGAAUCUUCCACAAUGGACGAAAGUCUGAUGCAGCGACGCCGCGUGAGCGAAGAAGUAUUUCGGUAUGUAAAGCUCUAUCAGCAGGGAAGAAAAUGACGGUACCUGACUAAGAAGCCCCGGCUAAAUACGUGCCAGCAGCCGCGGUAAUACGUAUGGGGCAAGCGUUAUCCGGAUUUACUGGGUGUAAAGGGAGUGCAGGCGGCUUGGCAAGUCUGAUGUGAAAGGCUGGGGCUUAACCCCAGGACUGCAUUGGAAACUGUUAGGCUGGAGUGUCGGAGAGGUAA